Molecule: long non-coding RNA, 996 nt
Filed under: Homo sapiens (human)
Lineage: Eukaryota; Metazoa; Chordata; Mammalia; Primates; Hominidae
Description: non-protein coding lnc-CLEC2D-2:6
Source: RNAcentral
GCGCGCGCAGGAACUUGGAUCUCAACCCCAGGGCUAGGUGCCUCCUCCCGCUGCUUUCCGCCAGCUGCGGGGUGUGAGAUUAAUCCCCGCCGAUUAGCGCCAGGUGUACUAAUCCCUGGAUGGUUCCCUGACCAGAUGAAACAUCAGCCGAUGUUCUAAUGCCCGUCCCCUGGGCACUGUCCCCGAGAGGGAAAACCUGUUUUCUGACCCCGGCUCUAGUCGGCCUCUGGAGAUCUGCAGCUGGGUUAUUUUACUUCUGAAACGGACGACACCUGCCCCGCGCACCCCAGCGGCUCCUCCACACGGAGAGAUGGUGUCAGUCAAAGGCCGUCUAGAUGACGAGUUUAUGAAAUUGUUCCUGGCCCGUGCCGGGCACGACCUUGCAGAGAGCCCAGAAGAUGAAACCCCAGCCCUGCCAGGAGCUCACCUGCUAAUUAGGAGGACAACGAAUCACCUCACCUCCCUAGACUUUGCUUCUCCUUUAUUCAGUGAGGGAUUGGACUAGCUGGUCCUUAAGGACUUUUCAGAAAGUCUGGUUCUGGGAGAUGACCAAUGGGAUCAUCUUAUGCUAUGAGCUUUCCUGGAAUGACAGGUAAUGGAGAGUGAGGAGAUUUUACCUGAUAUGGUCCUGUUUGCACCGUCAGCCAGCAACCUUUCUGGGAAGCAUGCUUAUUAUGUACCAACAUAGAAGCUUGAAUAUAAGGUCUGCCCACAUCAGUGCCCACCAGGAAAACUGCUGCUUGUGUUAUCAAGAAUUUAAAGAUCUAACAAGUACAGAAGGAGGAAAAGGUCAAUGUUUGGAGUGAAUUCUGGACUAACUGGGUGGAUAUAGCCUUAUCCUGAAUCACUUUAGAAGACUGCUAUCGACAUCAUUCCAAAAAGGUGGGAAUGUGCGUUUUCCAUCAUGGGACAAUUUUCAUCAGAUUUCUACUCUACUGGUGUCAUUACGUGUCCUUCCCCGAAAGUAUCAAAUACUUCCAAACCUCACUUUCGUUG